UACGUAGGCAGCAAGCGUUGUUCGGAAUUACUGGGCGUAAAGAGUUCGUAGGCGGUGCGGCAAGUUCGGUGUGAAAUCUCCCGGCUCAACUGGGAGGGUGCGCUAAAUACUGCCGUGCUCGAGUAUAGGAGAGGUAAGCGGAAUUCCUGGUGUAGCGGUGAAAUGCGUAGAUAUCAGGAGGAACACCUGUGGUGUAGACGGCUUACUGGACUAUAACUGACGCUGAGGAACGAAAGCGUGGGUAGCAAACAGGAUUAGAUACCCUGGUAGUCCACGCCCUAAACGAUGCAUACUUGGUGUGAGCCAUUCACUUGGUUCGUGCCGUAGCUAACGCGUUAAGUAUGCCGCCUGGGGAGUACGGUCGCAAGGCUGAA
This 374-nucleotide ribosomal RNA is filed under the name uncultured bacterium. RNAcentral's name for it is "bacterial SSU rRNA". It matches the Rfam family "Bacterial small subunit ribosomal RNA", at positions 524 to 898 of the family's 1533-position model. The record is from RNAcentral.